Molecule: long non-coding RNA, 1973 nt
Filed under: Linum usitatissimum (flax)
Lineage: Eukaryota; Viridiplantae; Streptophyta; Magnoliopsida; Malpighiales; Linaceae
Description: long non-coding RNA (LUSI_LNC007272)
Source: RNAcentral
ACUAUCAAACACCAAUGGCUUCCUCUGCUUUUGCACUUGCUUCCACCUUUAGGGCUCCCACGGCCCCGAUGGUUUCCUCACCGUCGGCGAAGAUCAGUACUACUACUCCGCCGACGGCUGCCCAUUUCCUCAAACAUACUACUGGUAAGGGAGGCGAUCAGAGUGUUAACCCCUGGCGGUUUCCCGUUUUUGGAAAGACAUCUCAUCACUCUGCCGGAGGUGACCAGGUUAACGGGCCCUGGCCGCUCCCCAUCUUCGGCAACUCUACAGGAGUUGACGGUGGCUACGUUCAGCCCUUUUUCGGUUGAUAAGUACUCUACCGUCUCGACGAUGUUGUUGUUGUUGCUGCUGUUGUUGUUGCUGCUGUUGUUGUUGUUGUCGUGGUCGUCCUAAUGAAUAAUAUCCUUUCUAUUAAGGGUAGCUCUGCUGUUGUCCUCAUGAACAACAUCGCCAUAUGAUGUAACCUUGUGUUGUGUUCCAUCUAAUAUAUAAUAAAAAGAUAUUUUCUGUGUUAGCAGUUUAGCUAUACAAAAAUUAAUGCUGGAAGUUUAGUGAUUCAAAUCGUGUUAAACCGGUCGGGUCAGCAGGCUUUGCACUCAGCUGAGUAUCCCUUUGGGCUUGAGGUGCGGGUACGAAACAAUCCUAUUUUAUACUUCGUGUAAAGAAUCAUCGCGUCAUGAUAAUUCGAGUUGUUUGGGAGAGGAUUGCUUUUAGCCAGGGCAUAGGAGGAGCUAUUUUGGUGUUGAUUACUCUCUGUCACGCAUUAUAUAAAUCUUAUAUAAUUUUCUAACACCGUAACACGCUUAUCUUGCUAAAAAAAUGCAAUUUUCUGUCAUUACAUGUCGAGUUACUAAAGGUAUUUAGUAACUAGAAAUGCGUAUCAGUCAUGGAAAAUAAUAUUUACGACAGGAAAUUAUGUAACUAAAAAGAAGUCUAAUAGUUUCUGGUUUCCAUUAUUAAUAAACAUUGGUGACUAAAUAUUCACAAUUGGUGACUAAUUUCUGGUAACUAAAGCAUUUUAUGUGACGAUUGAUUUUGUUUUUGUAGUGUCUUAUACACUAAACAGAUAAACAUGUAAGGAGUGCACCUAACGUACAAUCAUGCUUCGAAACUAAUCAUGACCCUUCGAUAUUGUGUAGCGGCCAAAUGGACGGUCCUGAUAAAUUGAGGAGUUACAAAUAACUGAAUGGGGGGAAUUUAUAGGCCAAAUGGCUUGUAGCAUUGAAUUGGGGAAGUUAAAAAGGAGUGGUAGGGGAAAGAUAGCGCCAAAUGGAGGGUAUCAUUAGAUUAAGGAGUUGCGUUGCAGGCCUGCAGCGAUUUGGUUCGGUUUUUUCGAUAUUCGUGUAUCUGGAUUGUGUUAUCCGCUGAUUAAAUAUCAAGAAUUUAGAUCGGAGAACAAACUGUUAUUGCUAUCGUACGAGAAACCCGAUCUAAAUUCUUGAUACAAUUAGAAGGAAUUUGUUCCUUGAUGACCAUUUGUGAGCAUGUUUCAUAACAUAAGCUAGGUUGCAUCACUCUAAUAUAUGGAAAAAAAAAUUGCUGUAGUGUAAAUUUUAAUUUUUUUAUCUUAUCCAUAUAAAUGAUUAAUGAACAUGGUAAUCUGUCAACUCGAGUAAAUAUUGUAGACACCGAGGGCGCGCACACAUUUAUAUAUCUAUUUGUUAUAUAUAAUUUCUAUCUGUUGACGUUUUGGUUGGUCAUUACUUCGUUAUGACGGUUAUUUUGAGUUUACUAAGGCUAUUGGUACCAGUACUACUCAAAUUAAUUAAUGUACAAGUAAAAUGAAGUAGCUAUAGAAAAAGUGUAGGAAAAUAUUCAGGAGUCGAGGUGAGGAAUUACAAUACUUGGAUCCUUUAUUGCUUUUGCACUUGCUUCUACCUUUAUUGUUUCCUCACCGGCGGCCAAGAGUACUGCUACUCCGCCGAUGGCUACCAUUGCCGCCCGUUUCCCCAAACAUACUACUGGUAAGGGAG